RNAcentral lists this transfer RNA (69 nucleotides) under Schistosoma mansoni. Lineage: Eukaryota; Metazoa; Platyhelminthes; Trematoda; Strigeidida; Schistosomatidae. The record is from RNAcentral.
ACUCAGUAGGUGAGUGGAUAAGGCGACGGCCUGCGAAGCGAAUGGUACUGGGUUCGAGUCCCAUAGUCA